GACGAACGCUGGCGGCGUGCUUAACACAUGCAAGUCGAACGGAAAGGCCCUGCUUUUGUGGGGUGCUCGAGUGGCGAACGGGUGAGUAACACGUGAGUAACCUGCCCCUGACUUUGGGAUAACUUCAGGAAACUGGGGCUAAUACCGGAUAGGAGCUCCUGCUGCAUGGUGGGGGUUGGAAAGUUUCGGCGGUUGGGGAUGGACUCGCGGCUUAUCAGCUUGUUGGUGGGGUAGUGGCUUACCAAGGCUUUGACGGGUAGCCGGCCUGAGAGGGUGACCGGCCACAUUGGGACUGAGAGACGGCCCAGACUCCUACGGGAGGCAGCAGUGGGGAAUAUUGCACAAUGGGCGGAAGCCUGAUGCAGCAACGCCGCGUGCGGGAUGACGGCCUUCGGGUUGUAAACCGCUUUCGCCUGUGACGAAGCGUGAGUGACGGUAAUGGGUAAAGAAGCACCGGCUAACUACGUG
This 468-nucleotide ribosomal RNA is filed under the name uncultured bacterium. Its description in RNAcentral is "partial 16S ribosomal RNA". It matches the Rfam family "Bacterial small subunit ribosomal RNA", at positions 28 to 507 of the family's 1533-position model. The record is from RNAcentral.